This 397-nucleotide ribosomal RNA is filed under the name uncultured bacterium. RNAcentral describes it as "partial 16S ribosomal RNA". It matches the Rfam family "Bacterial small subunit ribosomal RNA", at positions 523 to 918 of the family's 1533-position model. The record is from RNAcentral.
UUACGUAGGGGGCGAGCGUUGUCCGGAAUGAUUGGGCGUAAAGGGCGCGUAGGCGGCCCGGUAAGUCUGGAGUGAAAGUCCUGUUUUUAAGAUGGGAAUUGCUUUGGAUACUGUCGGGCUUGAGUGCAGGAGAGGUAAGUGGAAUUCCCAGUGUAGCGGUGAAAUGCGUAGAGAUUGGGAGGAACACCAGUGGCGAAGGCGACUUACUGGACUGUAACUGACGCUGAGGCGCGAAAGUGUGGGGAGCAAACAGGAUUAGAUACCCUGGUAGUCCACACUGUAAACGAUGAAUGCUAGGUGUAGGGGGUAUCGACCCCUUCUGUGCCGCAGUCAACACAAUAAGCAUUCCGCCUGGGGAGUACGGCCGCAAGGUUGAAACUCAAAUGAAUUGACGGGG